RNAcentral lists this small nucleolar RNA (131 nucleotides) under Dasypus novemcinctus (nine-banded armadillo). Its description in RNAcentral is "Small nucleolar RNA SNORA68 (ENSDNOG00000039790.1)". It matches the Rfam family "Small nucleolar RNA SNORA68". Rfam says of the family: U68 is a member of the H/ACA class of small nucleolar RNAs (snoRNAs) which act as guides in the the modification of uridines to pseudouridines. Lineage: Eukaryota; Metazoa; Chordata; Mammalia; Cingulata; Dasypodidae. The record is from RNAcentral.
AUCGCACCCAAACCCAAGAACUGCAGUUUCUAGUAACAGCGGCUUAAACAGCGGUGUGAAAGGCAAGCGAAUCUCGUCGCCUUUGGGGGCUGUGUGGUGCCCCUCAGAGUGAAUGUGGAGGUUCUACAUCC